This 253-nucleotide ribosomal RNA is filed under the name uncultured bacterium. RNAcentral describes it as "partial 16S ribosomal RNA". It matches the Rfam family "Bacterial small subunit ribosomal RNA", at positions 524 to 776 of the family's 1533-position model. The record is from RNAcentral.
UACGAAGGGGGCUAGCGUUGUUCGGAAUCACUGGGCGUAAAGCGCACGUAGGCGGACAGAUAAGUUGGGGGUGAAAGCCCAGGGCUCAACCCUGGAAAUGCCUCCAAUACUGUCGGGCUCGAGUUCGGGAGAGGUUAGUGGAAUUCCUAGUGUAGAGGUGAAAUUCGUAGAUAUUAGGAAGAACACCAGUGGCGAAGGCGGCUCACUGGCCCGAUACUGACGCUGAGGUGCGAAAGCGUGGGUAGCAAACAGG